This 269-nucleotide signal recognition particle RNA is filed under the name Candidatus Hydrogenedentes bacterium CG1_02_42_14. RNAcentral's name for it is "signal recognition particle sRNA large type". It matches the Rfam family "Bacterial large signal recognition particle RNA". From Rfam's summary of the family: The signal recognition particle (SRP) is a universally conserved ribonucleoprotein involved in the co-translational targeting of proteins to membranes. Archaeal SRP consists of a 7S RNA and homologues of the eukaryotic SRP19 and SRP54 proteins. RNAcentral also lists the same sequence under 1 other name. The record is from RNAcentral. Lineage: Bacteria; Pseudomonadati; Candidatus Hydrogenedentota.
GCGCGCCUAGGCGGGGAGAUAGCGGUUCCCUAACUCCCGAAAUCCGCUACACGCGGGGCUGAAUGCCUGAAUAGAGGGGUAGCUGUAAUAUUUGGACCGAUUCAUCGAAGGCGACGAAGGCGGGUCCCUGUGCAAUGCAAUCUCGUGAAAUGGGUCAGGCCUUGAUCGGAGCAGCCCUAAGCGAAUUUUGUGUGUGCCGCAGAUUAGGCUUGCCGGAGCCCUAGCAGGGUCGAAAAAAUAUUGUCAGUAUUUCGAAUUCAGGGGCGCGC